Molecule: ribosomal RNA, 253 nt
Filed under: uncultured bacterium
Lineage: Bacteria
Description: partial 16S ribosomal RNA
Rfam family: Bacterial small subunit ribosomal RNA
Source: RNAcentral
UACAGAGACUGCAAGCGUUAUUCGGAUUCACUGGGCGUAAAGGGUGCGCAGGCGGUCGUGUGUGUCAGAUGUGAAAUCCCGAGGCUCAACCUCGGAACUGCGUCUGAAACUACUCGACUAGAGUACUGGAGAGGGUAACGGAAUUCACGGUGUAGCAGUGAAAUGCGUAGAUAUCGUGAGGAACACCAGAGGCGAAGGCGGUUACCUGGACAGUUACUGACGCUCAGGCACGAAAGCAUGGGGAGCAAAAGGG